UGCGUAGGGUGCAAGCGUUAAUCGGAAUUACUGGGCGUAAAGCGUGCGCAGGCGGUGAUGUAAGACAGAUGUGAAAUCCCAGGGCUCAACCUUGGAACUGCAUUUGUGACUGCAUCGCUGGAGUGCGGCAGAGGGGGAUGGAAUUCCGCGUGUAGCAGUGAAAUGCGUAGAUAUGCGGAGGAACACCGAUGGCGAAGGCAAUCCCCUGGGCCUGCACUGACGCUCAUGCACGAAAGCGUGGGGAGCAAACAGG
Molecule: ribosomal RNA, 253 nt
Filed under: uncultured bacterium
Lineage: Bacteria
Description: partial 16S ribosomal RNA
Rfam family: Bacterial small subunit ribosomal RNA
Source: RNAcentral